CCUGACGACCAUAGCGUGCCGGUCCCACCCGAUCCCAUCCCGAACUCGGCAGUGAAACGG
RNAcentral lists this ribosomal RNA (60 nucleotides) under Kushneria avicenniae. Lineage: Bacteria; Pseudomonadati; Pseudomonadota; Gammaproteobacteria; Oceanospirillales; Halomonadaceae. The record is from RNAcentral.